UACGAAGGGAGCUAGCGUUGUUCGGAGUUACUGGGCGUAAAGGGCGCGUAGGUGGCUUGGCAAGUUAGGUGUGAAAGCCCAGGGCUCAACCCUGGAAUAGCACUUAAGACUGCCUUGCUUGAAUUCGGUAGAGGUGAGUGGAAUUCCCAGUGUAGAGGUGAAAUUCGUAGAGAUUGGGAAGAACACCCGUGGCGAAGGCGGCUCACUGGACCGACAUUGACACUGAGGCGCGAAAGCGUGGGGAUCAAACAGG
This 253-nucleotide ribosomal RNA is filed under the name uncultured bacterium. RNAcentral describes it as "partial 16S ribosomal RNA". It matches the Rfam family "Bacterial small subunit ribosomal RNA", at positions 524 to 776 of the family's 1533-position model. The record is from RNAcentral.